Cucumis melo (muskmelon) is the source of this 400-nucleotide long non-coding RNA. RefSeq lists it as uncharacterized. NCBI's taxonomy places the organism in Eukaryota, Viridiplantae, Streptophyta, Magnoliopsida, Cucurbitales, Cucurbitaceae. The transcript is spliced from 3 exons. The record is from RefSeq and is a predicted model, not a curated record.
CGCGCGUCCACUCGACGCCUGAAGCCGCGCCAGCGCCCUUUGUCCUGUGCCGAGCCGACACCUGCUUUCCCAGUCGAGCUGCCAAGCCGAUCCCUAUUCAUCCAGCCGAGCCGCCAAGCUUUUUGGAGCCACCUAGUUUUUGGUCUUUCCCCACGUGUCUUUGGGUCGGUUGGACCAAUUGGUGUUGGAGCGUGGGAUUUCUCGACUUAAAGGGUGUUAGCGCAACCUUGAUCUUGGGGCCCCGCUGCUUGGAAAGCACAUCUUUUUCUUACUAUUAGGACUCGUCAACCAAAUCUCCAGGUAAGAGAUUUCUACUACUAGCUCUACGACUAGAAUCAUGAGACUGUAUGCAUUCCUAGUUAUGCACUUGAGGACUACAUUGCAUAACGAUAGUAUAAUU